RNAcentral lists this transfer RNA (96 nucleotides) under Thermodesulfobacterium geofontis. RNAcentral describes it as "tRNA-Sec". It matches the Rfam family "Selenocysteine transfer RNA". The record is from RNAcentral. Lineage: Bacteria; Pseudomonadati; Thermodesulfobacteriota; Thermodesulfobacteria; Thermodesulfobacteriales; Thermodesulfobacteriaceae.
GGAAGCGUAAGGGGGCUGGUGUCCCUCCCGGGCUUCAAACCCGGUGCACCUCAAAUAAAAGGGGUGGGUGGGUUCAAUUCCCACACGCUUCCGCCA